This is a long non-coding RNA of Alligator sinensis (Chinese alligator), 880 nucleotides long. RefSeq lists it as uncharacterized. The record is from RefSeq and is a predicted model, not a curated record. Lineage: Eukaryota; Metazoa; Chordata; Crocodylia; Alligatoridae. The transcript has 3 exons.
UCUGUAUUGCUAAAGUGAGCCACAUGCCCUCAGCCUGAAAUUAUAGAUGUGUUUUGACUUUCACUUUUCAUAUAUUCACCUGUAGCAAGAUUGAUACCUGUGCUCAUGCUUCAGUUUACUUGCAGGUUUCUCACAGGGAGGAAUACAACCAUCACACUUCAAGAGGGAGAUCUCCAGAAAGAAUACUGUUUUUCUACCAUUCAUUUUUGAGGGAUAAUUCAUGUCUGGUGUGAAACCUGGGUGUGGUAUACAGCAUUUACAAUUUGAGAUGAAGGAAUAUACCCUUCAAGCAAAGAAAAGGGAGCAUCAUAAUAAUAGACAAAGCCAUCUGAAUUGUAUGUAACUUUAUUUUGACUUUUAUCUGUUUUGCCCUGUCAUGAUUUGAAUUAUACAAUGUAUUAAAGUUUUAAACCAUGCUGAAGAAUAUGUUUGUAUUUAAUAAUAAACAUUUAUAAUAUCCAGUAAUUCCAAAAGAUUUUGUACAAUGGGUAAUGAUUUGACUAGGGAUAUAUAUGGAGGUCCCAGGCUUGGCUCUUUUUUUCUUGUAACAUUAAUUUAAAGAUAACAUGAAAAUGUUUUUUUAUAUAUAGUUAUACAUGAACAUUUUUUUACCAUGUGUGCAAUUCUUACUGACUGUAACUUUAAGACAUAACAAUAUGUGUUUUACUAGGCCAUUAAUACUUUCCUUAAGUGCAACUUUGUUCCUUUAUAUACUCAAGAUGUGUAUUAAUGGCCUCAGUAAAAUCUGCUUUGCAGUGUGUUGGUUUCAUAUUUCAGUUUUCAGUGAAAUAAAAUUAGUAAUUGGUUGAAAAAGACGAAAAGGGGCUCUAAAAAUACAGAGGAGAAACUUUGUCAUGUUUGAAGCACGUGCUCCCAAAUC